RNAcentral lists this small RNA (28 nucleotides) under Arabidopsis thaliana (thale cress). RNAcentral's name for it is "ATSL183360". The record is from RNAcentral. Lineage: Eukaryota; Viridiplantae; Streptophyta; Magnoliopsida; Brassicales; Brassicaceae.
AUCUCUCUCCCUCUCUCUCUCUCUCUCU